UUAGUAAACAUGAAAGACAAGAAUAAAAAAAAUCACCAAAGAUAAAUAACACAAUGACGAGAUGUAUUAGUACAGAGCCACGUCAUGUGUAACAAAGAAACACAACAAGUACUAUAAAACAAAGCACUUAAGCAAAAACGAAAAAAAAAGAAUUCAAAAUUUACCAUAGCACAAUAACACAAUGACAGGUAUACAAUGUAGAGGUACAGACUACACAGUAAAAGUAAUAUCCAUAAGGACAAAUAAAACAAUAAUAUAACAUGUAUAUCACGUUGUUAAGAUGCGCAUAACAUCAAAACCCAGAAUCUAUACUUCAAGACCGUCGUGUAUUAUUUGUAAAGUUGAUAUGAAAUAUUUAUCAACAAGGUCUUGGUACCUUUCGAAGAAUUGUUUUAGAAAAAGGGCCAGACGUUCUUUGACAUACCCUUUGUUCAUCAACUAUCUGCUCAGACACUUGUGACGUUUAAAAGUAGCAGCCUGCAAGCUAUUGAAUAGCGAAUAAGUUGGGAAAUAUAUGUAACACUCCCAAACGUGUCUUGCCCCUACGUGUCCGAUCCCCAAAACGUGUCUGAUCCCCCCAAACGUGUCCGUAAUUAUCAAAAGUUGCGUAACCAAAUUAGAGCUAAUACAGAUAAUAAAGAUAAAUCACGAAACAGACCACAGGAAAAAUGAUACAAUCUAUGAGACAAUUAGACAUGCUGUUUUUCCCGUAGGACGAGAGAGUAUAGAAAUGCUAUUCAAAAAUGAAAUUAACUGCUCUAGCUGUAAUGCAGCUGUGGAACUCCCUAAAAAAACAAGGACUAGAAAACCAAUUCUAGCCACUUACCCAAAUAGUCGGUGGCAGAUUGACUUGAAGAAAAUGCCUUGUUACAAAGGAUAUAAUUACGUCUGCAACAUUCUAGACUGUUAUUCCAGGUUUGCGUUUGGAUGUGCUAGAAAAACCAAAACGGCAAAGGAAAUUGCUGACAUUGUCUUAAAAUUUAUUAACCUUUAUGGUGCACCGCGUAUAUUACAAUCGGAUAAUGGUAAAGAAUUCACCAAUAAGGAUCUAGAAGGAGUCGUUGAGGAGUUUAAGUCAAAACAAAUACAUGGCAGACCGUACCAUCUGCAGAGUCAAGGAAGAGUAGAGAGAUUUAACAGGACAAUGACCACAUGUUUUCGUGUAAAAAUGAGCACUGUAAAAGAUUGGGUUGAAGAACUUCCACAUUUCUACUAUACCUACAACAAAAGAGUUAAUUCAGUAACCAAGCCGUUAACUCCUUAUCAAAUGUAUUUCAAAAGACCAAAUUUUGCUACACCGGUGGAGGAACAGAUACCAUACCAAAAUUUAACUGAAGAAGAAAGAUUGUUUUUAAGAAACGCUCAUCUUGAUGUUGACGACGAAGUAGAAAAUGAGAGUGAAAUCAAACCAGAAAAUAAUCAGCAGGAGAAUAUUAUGGAUACGGCAACUGAUGAGAACGAUGACCAGAUAUCAUUAGAAGAAACAUUACAACUACUCGAUGACAUCGCCUCGCCUACCAAGGAUAUAACUGAAGACCAAACUAAUCAAAUUAUCUCGCAACAAGAUUGUAUGAUGGAAGAUAAAGUACCUAAAAAGAAUAUAGUGUGUGUACCCCGAGUAUAUUAACAAACACAUUUUUUUUUAUCUAUAACCAAAUUAAUUAUAAUGGAUUUUUUCUUGCAUUUUCACUUUACUUUUUAAUGAUCUAACCAUCUGUUAUCAUAUAUUGAGCAUUUCAAUCUUUAAACAUGUUUUUGGCUAAAUAGUUGUAUGACCACUGUUUGUGACCUAUAUUACUACAUGUAUAAUAUUAAACAACGCCAAUAAAAAAAAACGAAAAUACAUUGUUUCAGUACGCUUGUUUUUUAAUGCUGAACUGAUUUGUAUUGGUAUACUCAAUAAAUAAUACUGAUUUUGAACUAAUAUGUUGAAUACUAAUAUUUUUGUAGGAAAUAAGUUUAACAAGUGAAAACGUGCAGAGCUGCCAAGUAUAAGUAAUGGAAGAGAAAGAAAACCAGGUGGUACAAAAUAACACAGCUUCCCCUUACUACAGUGAAAUGUAUAGAAAAAGAUUUGGAAGACCCCCAUCUUUAAUAAGCGCAGAAAGUCCAAGCAAAAGGAUCCAUUUACAGGAAACUAAUGGGAACCAGUCCACACAUGGAUUUUUCAACACUGGUAUCACGCAAUAUUUUGAUAGUGAACAAAUGUAUCCCGUUGAAUUGUUUGGUAAAAACUCCCUGGACGAUAUGACCAGCUACAUGUUUUAUAAUGAAGGAGAUAUAGUUGACUACAGAACCAAUCCUGCUAUGAACAAAGGGACUGCGGUUUUUAGCAGCGGUUUCUGGAGAAGAGGUGUAGUGAUACGAAUAGAUAAGUGUCCUAGACUAGGCACGCUUUCCACUGUUAAAGAUGACAUAAAAGACUUCUGUUUUCAAAUAAACAGACACCAGAUACGAAUAGCAAAAUAAAAAUGUAUUUUUUCUA
Long non-coding RNA from Mytilus californianus (California mussel), 2485 nucleotides. RefSeq lists it as uncharacterized. The record is from RefSeq and is a predicted model, not a curated record. The transcript is spliced from 5 exons. Lineage: Eukaryota; Metazoa; Mollusca; Bivalvia; Mytilida; Mytilidae.